AGCAGCCGCGGUAAUUCCAGCUCCAAUAGCGUAUAUUAAAGUUGUUGCAGUUAAAAAGCUCGUAGUUGAAUUUCGGGACCAAUCUGCCGGUCGUGCCUCCGGUAUGCACUGGUUUUAUUGAUUUCUCCCUUCUGACGAAUCAUGAUGUCAUUAAUUUGGUGUCAUGGGGAAUCAGGACUGUUACUUUGAAAAAAAUUAGAGUGUUUAAAGCAGGCUCACGCUUGAAUACAUUAGCAUGGAAUAAUGAAAUAGGACGUUUGACCCUAUUUUGUUGGUUUCUAGGGUCGACGUAAUGAUUAAUGGGGAUAGUUGGGGGCAUUAGUAUUCAAUUGUCAGAGGUGAAAUUCUUGGAUUUAUUGAAGACUAACUACUGCGAAAGCAUUUGCCAAGGAUGUUUUCAUUAAUCAAGAACGAAAGUUAGGGGAUCGAAGACGAUCAGAUACCGUCGUAGUCUUAACCAUAAACUAUGCCGACUAGGGAUCGGAUGAUGUUAUUUUUUAAUGACUCAUUCGGCACCUUA
This 520-nucleotide ribosomal RNA is filed under the name uncultured Glomus. RNAcentral's name for it is "SSU rRNA". It matches the Rfam family "Eukaryotic small subunit ribosomal RNA", at positions 569 to 1090 of the family's 1831-position model. The record is from RNAcentral. Lineage: Eukaryota; Fungi; Glomeromycota; Glomeromycetes; Glomerales; Glomeraceae.